Molecule: ribosomal RNA, 791 nt
Filed under: uncultured Planctomycetia bacterium
Lineage: Bacteria; Pseudomonadati; Planctomycetota; Planctomycetia
Description: bacterial SSU rRNA
Rfam family: Bacterial small subunit ribosomal RNA
Source: RNAcentral
AGUCGAGGGAUCUCCCGCAAGGGAGGGAACCGGCGUAAGGGGCAGUAAGGCGUGGGUACCUACCCCGGGGUUCGGGAUAGCUGUCCGAGAGGGCAGGUAAUACCGGAUGACCUGGUGACAGCAAAGAUUUAUCGCCCUGGGAGGGGCCCACGUGAUAUUAGCUAGUUGGCGGGGUAACGGCCCACCAAGGCGAAGAUGUCUAGCGGGUGUGAGAGCACGACCCGCGCCACUGGCACUGAGACACUGGCCAGACACCUACGGGUGGCUGCAGUCGAGGAUCUUCGGCAAUGAGCGCAAGCUUGACCGAGCGACGCCGCGUGGGCGAUGAAGGCCUUCGGGUUGUAAAGCCCUGUCGAGGGGGAGAAAAGCCGAAAGGUUUGAUCUAUCCCUGGAGGAAGCACGGGCUAAGUUCGUGCCAGCAGCCGCGGUAAGACGAACCGUGCGAACGUUGUUCGGAAUCACUGGGCUUAAAGGGCGCGUAGGCGGGUUCUCAAGUCCGGGGUGAAAUCCUCCCGCCCAACGGGAGAAGAGCCUCGGAUACUGGGGACCUCGAGGAGGGUAGGGGCAAGCGGAACUAUGGGUGGAGCGGUGAAAUGCAUUGAUAUCCAUAGGAACUCCGGUGGCGAAGGCGGCUUGCUGGACCCUUUCUGACGCUGAGGCGCGAAAGCCAGGGGAGCAAACGGGAUUAGAUACCCCGGUAGUCCUGGCCCUAAACGUUGGGAACUAGGUAGUAGACCAGACAUGGGUUUACUGCCGGAGCAAAAGUGCUAAGUUCCCCGCCUGGGGAGUAU